AGGGUUUGAUCAUGGCUCAGGAUGAACGCUAGCGGCAGGCCUAAUACAUGCAAGUCGAACGGUAAGGUCUCUUCGGAGAUACACGAGUGGCGCACGGGUGCGUAACACGUAUGCAACCUACCCUUUAGAGGGGGAUAGCCUAUGGAAACGUAGAUUAAUACCCCAUACACUUCUAAAGUCGCAUGGCUUAAGAAGGAAAGCUCCGGCGCUAAAGGAUGGGCAUGCGUCCCAUUAGUUAGUUGGUGAGGUAGUGGCUCACCAAGGCAUCGAUCAGUAGCUGGUCUGAGAGGAUGAUCAGCCACACUGGGACUGAGACACGGCCCAGACUCCCACGGGAGGCAGCAGUAGGGAAUAUUGGUCAAUGGGCGAAAGCCUGAACCAGCCAUGCCGCGUGCAGGAUGAAGGCGCUCGUCGUUGUAAACUGCUUUUAUAUGGGAAGAAAGAGGCUUUGCGAAGCCAGUUGACGGUACCAUAUGAAUAAGCACCGGCUAACUCCGUGCCAGCCGCCGCGGUAAUAC
RNAcentral lists this ribosomal RNA (518 nucleotides) under uncultured bacterium. RNAcentral's name for it is "bacterial SSU rRNA". It matches the Rfam family "Bacterial small subunit ribosomal RNA", at positions 8 to 526 of the family's 1533-position model. The record is from RNAcentral.